UUCCGGUUGAUCCUGCCGGAGGUCACUGCUAUUGGGGUUCGGCUAAGCCAUGCAAGCGGAGGGUGCGGUCGAAAGAUCGUGGCCCCGCACACGGCUCAGUAACACGUAGUCAACCUACCCUUGGGACGGGGACAACCUCGGGAAACUGAGGCUAAUACCCGAUAGGCGAGGGACGCUGGGAUGCCUCCUCGCCCAAAGCUCUGGCGCCCAAGGAUGGGACUGUGGCCUAUCAGGCUGUUGGUGGUGUAACGGACCACCAAACCUACGACGGGUACGGGCGAUGGGAGUCGGAGCCCGGAGAUGGGGACUGAGACAAGGCCCCAGGCCCUACGGGGCGCAGCAGGCGCGAAAACUCCGCAAUGCGCGCAAGCGUGACGGGGGGACCCCAAGUGCCGUUGGUCUUUCGAUCGACGGUUUUUAGGAAGUCUAAGAAGCUUCCGGAAUAAGGGCUGGGCAAGACUGGUGCCAGCCGCCGCGGUAACACCAGCAGCCCGAGUGGUGGCCACGAUUAUUGGGCCUAAAGCGCUCGUAGCCGGAUCAUCAAGUCCCUUGUGAAAUCGGGCCGCCCAACGGUUCGGCGUGCAAGGGAUACUGUUGGUCUUGAGGCCGGGAGAGGUCGGAGGUACUCCUGGGGUAGCGGUGAAAUGCUCUAAUCCUAGGGGGACCACCAGUGGCGAAGGCGUCCGACCAGAACGGACCUGACGGUGAGGGGCGAAGGCUAGGGGAGCGAACGGGAUUAGAUACCCCGGUAGUCCUAGCUGUAAAGCAUGCGGGCUAGGUGUCUAGCGCUCCUCUAGGGCGCUAGGUGCCGGAGGGAAGCCGUUAAGCCCGCCGCCUGGGAAGUACGGCCGCAAGG
This 856-nucleotide ribosomal RNA is filed under the name uncultured archaeon. RNAcentral describes it as "bacterial SSU rRNA". It matches the Rfam family "Archaeal small subunit ribosomal RNA", at positions 1 to 848 of the family's 1478-position model. The record is from RNAcentral.